Drosophila ananassae is the source of this 689-nucleotide long non-coding RNA. RefSeq lists it as uncharacterized. The transcript has 2 exons. The record is from RefSeq and is a predicted model, not a curated record. NCBI's taxonomy places the organism in Eukaryota, Metazoa, Arthropoda, Insecta, Diptera, Drosophilidae.
CAAUGGCUUGGCAAAUGCGUUAUUUAUUUAAUGCCAGACUCAGCAGCUUCUCGAUUGUGCAAUUAUUAAGUUACCCUAACAAAGUUGGGUAUGCAAAACAAGACUAAGAAUUUGAUCUGUUUUUGGGCAUAAACAUACAUAUUUUCAGAUCCAAUUUAUUUCAGAUGUUUCAAUAUUUUGACAUUUAAUUGUAGCAUAAAUUCGUAUGAGUUUAAAUUCUAUUUUGUCUGUAAUAUUUAUUUUUCAAUUCUUUAUUUAUAUUGGUUUUAGUUUUUGUUUUGGUUUCCUUUCGUUUCGUUUCUGAUUUCAUGCAAAUGUUUGCAAAUUUCUCAAAUUAACGCGUAGGCGAGCUGAAUCGAGCCGAAAGAGCUGGAAGUGUCGCCGUCUCAGCACCACUAGCACCACCAGCUUCACCGCAGCCGCCUCAUCUAACGACGCGACGCCCCCACCGCUCCCCCACAGCAAGUUCAUUGAACCACCUACGAGAAAUAUGCAAAUCGUAGCUAUGGAUGCAGGGGAAAAUAAAUCAAAUGAAAUGGACUAGCAAAAACAAAAGGAAAACUAAUUUCGAUUCGAUCUUGGGGCUUUUGUCUGGUGGAGCUUGUAAGAUCUAUGCAAAAAAAUGAAAACAAAGCCAAAUUGUUGCAAUCCCAUUAAAGUGAAAUUAAUGGCUGUCGCCAGCUGCGGAA